GCCAGAGGAACAAGGGCAUUUUACAGCCUCUAAUUCUCAGUGUAGGGGAACAAUGUAGUCAAGCCAGACUUGCGCACAACACUUACUUUCCAUGCUGGGUGGAAGGGGAAGGAGGAGAGCAGGGUUGGCCACCCCUGUAGUCACUGAAUUUGUGGCUAUGGCCCCACACCCAGCACCAGUGUGGUUGACUCAGGCAAGGUAAGAUAGAGCAGCCCCCAAAUAGGCAUGCUGCUAAAUAGUGCCAAAGUAGGCACUGCUGUCUGAGCUUUAGUCCUUAUUGCCAAAACCCCCAGAAUCCUCAAAAUGAGAGACAGAGUGCUUCUGGGGAAGAUACUGGGCAAACUAAAAGAUGAUAACUGUUCACUAGGGGCUUUAUCAGGACACUACACAUGUAGAUACUGGGGACCUUAUGUAUGCAAAGUGCACCAAUGCCAACAGGAGCUCAAGAAGGAAGUGCCUUUGUAUCAGCAACUGCAUUGCACUGAAGUUGGUGAGGAACAAUCAAAGCCUAACAGAUAUGAGUAGGAAACCACUGGAAUACAGGGUCAUCUACUGAAAUAGCUCAAGACUGAAGUUGUCAUUGAAACCAUGAGGGACUGAGGGAAGCAGGAUACCGACACAUUUUGGAACACAGUCCAAGAUGGUUACAAUUUUUUCAGCCUUUCUCACAAGCAACUUCCUCUGACAAAGAGAGGAAAUGCAGAGAAAGAAGAUUACCACUUCUUACUUCCCAAACUUGAACAGCUGACCUGAUCUGUUGAAAAGGCUAUUUUUCAGUUACCUUUUCAGAGUCAUAACCAGUUUCCAGCGGCAGUCUUUUAUUUCACCUUCUGAAAAGAAAGAGAAAACUGCUGAAAAGAUGCAAAAUCACAGCAUUCAGUGAUACACUAAUUCACUUAAAUGAAAGUUAUUUUUUUUCUGUCUUGGCAUAAAUUGGCUUGGUAUACCAUCUUGAUGGUAGAAGAGAGCCUGAUCUGGAGGAAAUGUUCUUUGGAGAAAACAAUGCAAGCACAGUCAAACAAAAUAUCUACCUUACACAGAUUUAGUCAAUGGUGAAGAGGUCAUUUAAAUUGAAAUGUUCAGGAAUGUUACUUGAUUUUUUUUUUUUCUUUUCAGACUGUAUAUUUAUAGGAAUUUUUCUAAAAACUACCUGCAGUAAAACUAAUGUUUCAGAAUAAUAUAAGUGUAGUGGCAUCUGGCUCUUUGCUUUCACAAGAAACGUGGCUUUCUUUUUCUGUGAUUAAAUUAUAUAAAUAACUUCAUCUUCAAUAUAAAAAACUGUAAAUUUUAACUAUAUAGAUAAUCUCAGGAGUAUCUCUUCAAGUAAAUAUUAAUUCAAUUCCUCAUUAAUAAGUGGAGAAAGGGUGUGCAGAAUGUAAAUGACAGAACAUUUGUAUUUUUUUCAGUUUAGAGAGGGCAGUUGCUCGAGUAAGCAGAGAAAGGAUAUCUAGUUAUUUUACCUAAUUUUAUUAAUUAAGAUGUAUGUAUUACUGCC
Molecule: long non-coding RNA, 1495 nt
Filed under: Anas platyrhynchos platyrhynchos (common mallard)
Lineage: Eukaryota; Metazoa; Chordata; Aves; Anseriformes; Anatidae
Description: lncRNA (ENSAPLG00000016681.1)
Source: RNAcentral